RNAcentral lists this ribosomal RNA (458 nucleotides) under uncultured bacterium. RNAcentral's name for it is "partial 16S ribosomal RNA". It matches the Rfam family "Bacterial small subunit ribosomal RNA", at positions 338 to 795 of the family's 1533-position model. The record is from RNAcentral.
CCUACGGGAGGCAGCAGUGAGGAAUAUUGGUCAAUGGGCGAGAGCCUGAACCAGCCAAGUCGCGUGAGGGAGUACUGCCCUAUGGGUUGUAAACCUCUUUUGUCGGGGAGCAAAAGCCGGACGUGUCCGGCUGUGAGAGUACCCGAAGAAAAAGCAUCGGCAAACUCCGUGCCAGCAGCCGCGGUAAUACGGAGGAUGCGAGCGUUAUCCGGAUUUAUUGGGGUUAAAGGGUGCGCAGGCGGAUUUUUAAGUCAGCGGUCAAAUCGUGGGGCUCAACCCCAUCCAGCCGUUGAAACUGGGGAUCUAGAGUGUGCGAGAGGUAUGCGGAAUGCGUGGUGUAGCGGUGAAAUGCAUAGAUAUCACGCAGAACCCCGAUUGCGAAGGCAGCAUACCGGUGCAAAACUGACGCUCAGGCACGAAAGCGUGGGUAUCGAACAGGAUUAGAUACCCUGGUAGUC